Molecule: unclassified non-coding RNA, 705 nt
Filed under: Hevea brasiliensis (rubber tree)
Lineage: Eukaryota; Viridiplantae; Streptophyta; Magnoliopsida; Malpighiales; Euphorbiaceae
Source: RNAcentral
GCAGAGUAUUAUCAGAUGAUAUAGCUAGAGCUGAAACUGUAUCAACAUGAUGAACCCAUGUACAUUUCUUAUGUCUACGAAUUUCAACGUAGUUUUUCGCGCUGAAUAAUCUCAUACACCGAUCAUUCAGCGUCGGUAGAGUAGCAAUGCAUUUGUAAUUACUUUGAUUAUGAUCGUGGUUGUCGAUUUUCCAUACACGAAUUUUAUGAUCUUGGUGAGCAGUGAAGAGUUUAUCCCCAAAAAUAACUAUAGAUUUAACAGAGCUCUUACUCUGUUUUUGAGCUACUACUACGGAGUGAUUUUUCUCUUGGUUCCGUAGAAGGAUUUCGCCGUUGGAAGUUCCGGUGUAGAGAUGUUUUCCGGCGAGUGAUAGGCAGAAAACGGAGGAGGAAAGGCCAGUAAAAGUGGAUGCACAGAAGGUGUUUGAUAAAAGUUCUGAAUGAGUUGAAACUGGAGUUAAAGAAGGAAUUGAUGGUAAACUUGGCUGUGAGUAAAGGCAAGAAGAUGAUCUGGAUAAUGCUAAUGAUGAAUCUGAGUAAAUUUGGUGAAAUUCAUCAGAAUUUGUUGAGUUUUGCUUGGAUGGAGAUGGCAAUGGACAUGGAAUUUUACCCAUUUUCUUUUGCUUGAAAAAAAAAAAUGGUUAGAAACAGUUCAAAUUUAGAGAUGAAUGAAUCUUGCUUUGUUUUUUUGUUAGCUAUAUUUUUA